CUCCCAUUUCUCCCACCUUCUUCCCGGGAAUAUCGCGCAUCAAUACCAUGCCGCCGCCCUCUACACCGUGCGUUCAACCCGCCACGAAGACCGCCCCUCCUUCCCAGCGAAUCUUCAUGUUGCGUGUUGCCAUGGGUCGUCCCCGCCACGAAGACCGACUCCUCUUCGUCGGCAUCGUUGGCGCGAAGGUCUCCGCCUCGGGCAACCCACCGGCAUCGUCGUCCGGCCAACGGUACCUCCGCGGCACCAAAGUCCAUUCCUCAUGGAUACAUCGAGGACGGACAUGACUGACGACACAACAGUCGCAACCGUUGCUCAAGGUUGCUACUGUUCUCCUCUUGCACCCAUCUUCAUUGUUGACUGAACCUGAAUGGACGGUAACCUUCUUCUCGCCCUCUGCAUUGCAGGUCUGAUUAAGCUCUAGUCUCCUUCACUUUUACCUUCCCACUUGUUUCUGCCUUCCGGUAUUCUUUGUUUUCCACUAGCGUGUGAUACAUGAGUGCAAGGUGCUCGAUGAAAGGUCGGCAAGGAGUCCACUACUAGGAGAUCAAUGCUUGUGGGGGGCAAUGCAGUUGGAUCUGCUGGCACAAAGUGGCACAGGGGUUCCACGAGGACGCUAACGACCGUGUGAUUUAUUAGUGGAAAAAAUGCUUCAGCCCAAAUUGGUCUACUGUUUUCAGUCAAUGUGAAAGGAAGCUUAAUGAUAUCAAUGUAUAUAUGGGAGUUUAGAGGAGUUUUGGGUUUGAGGAGCACUCUGUUUCUUCACUUUAGUCUCUCUCUUCCAGCCUAUUUAUGAUUGGAGAACUCUUAUUGCAGGAAUUGUCAUUUAAAAAGAGAAGGGUUUGUCAAACUAAUUCCUUUUUGCUACAGCUUUCAGUACUGUCCAUUAAAUCUGAUGUGCUUCUAA
This is a non-coding RNA of Oryza sativa Japonica Group (Japanese rice), 907 nucleotides long. The record is from RefSeq and is a predicted model, not a curated record. Lineage: Eukaryota; Viridiplantae; Streptophyta; Magnoliopsida; Poales; Poaceae.